AAUCUCUCUCCGUUAUCUGUCUGAUCUAGCAGAGAUCCCAUGUUAUGCAGAUAAAAUUUUCCAGGAAUCAGUAGCUUCUGCAUCUGGGAAGUAACUUCAGUCCUAAAACUUCUUUGGCAAUAGCUACUUGGAGGAUGUUUUUAGGGGCAUACUGGGAGCAUGACAGGCUGUUCCAUCUGUUUGCAGAACAGUUGCAGGCUGUGAGCAGAAGAGGAGAUGGGAGGAUACAACUGACUUCUUCAAGGGGACCUCCAGCAUCCCGUGUGCCCAGGCAGACCAGAACUUUCCUUCAAUCCAGCAGCUGAAAGAAGCACCCAACAGACAGAAAACCAGAGCAUGGAACGCUUGCAGUAGGUGAGAGACUGAGUGCAGUGGAGACAGAGCCUUAUCUGUGAGCUGAGCAGCUCCUGUAUCUCGGGGAGCAGCUCCUGGGCAGCCCCUGGUGGUAUCGGGCCAGGCCCUCCCGGGGUGACAGCGCCACUCGGAGCCGCUGCCAGGGACCUUCAUCGGCCACCCCCGGCUCAGGGCACCGGGCUGCUGAGUGCCCAGCUGAGGCACACACAGGCACACGGGUGGCACACCUCCCAGCACAGCUGGCACGGCAUUUCUUGUAUUUUCCAGCCAGGUCAGGCUUGAAUUCUAUAAUAACUGUGUGGAUUCUCACCCAGCUGCACCACUGACUGCAAACUCUGCAUCAGGAUUUCUCCCUCUGUUCAUGACUCUGUGCUGCUGCCUUCUAUUCCUAGGACAGCUUGUGGGGAACCCUAAAACAAACUCCUUCUGGUUCCUGUUUUCCUUUUUUCUGUGCUCAAGGCUAUUCUCACAUUCCUCACUGCUGAUGACUGCUCAGUUUUCCCGAGUCUCAUUCAGGGUGCUCUACCUACAAGCCAGAUACUUGUCAUCUCUAAAAGAUGUUUGUUUCCACAGAAGAAUAGCAAUGAGGUUGCUGUGUGCUCCCUUCACAGUCAGCCAGGCUGGGAGAAGUCCAAAUAUCCAAUCAUCCCUUGGAAUUCAUAAUGCUUGAAGAUAAAGCAGCCAAAAAUAGUUUCUAUAAGCUGGAUGGUUCUAUAACUUUCUGUGUUUAUCUAACAAGACAAAGUUAAGAAGUACAGUAGGUCAUGCACUAAACUGAGCAAGAUCAUGGGGCAUGUAGGGGCUCAUGGAGAUGAGCUAAUUGGUUAUUUAUUCGAUUAACUUAACCUCUCUCUGUUUGAGAAUUACCUUCUUGCAUUGCUCUUACAUUUGCUUUGAUAAAAGGAAAACCAACCCAGCUGUACAGUGAGGCAUUAAGAGAUGCUAAAAAGACUCUUUUGGGGAGAGGAGGGGGGAGAGAGGGGAGUUCACUCAGCUCUGCCAGAGCCUUAUUUUUUCCUGCCUUCCAAGAACAGGCUAUGUUCCAUCCCCUGCCGCCCCCUCAGCUGGUGCUGGGAAGAGCAGCUGAGUUUAGCUCACUGUUCCUGGAAGUCACUGAGACAAGGAGCAUCGAGAAACCAGCAUUUUCUGUAGCGCUCUCUGCUUCAAUGGAAAAGAUGAGCUGAUCUUGAUCCUGCUUGUUCUCUAGCCAGGGUUAACCCUCACUGCACCGAGACAGGCUACAAAAUGUGCCCUUUCAGAAAGGGGCUGUGUGUCUGGAAGCCACUCUGAAAUGCAGUGUCACACCAUCAGCAAAUGCAUCCCUGAGGUAACUCAGGCUGUCCAGAUUUAUGCUGGACCAAUAAAACCUUUUACUUGUUUUUUUUGCCCAUUGAAGCAGAGCAAUUGUUCAGCCAGGCUGUACCAGUGGCCAUGUCUUCUGUGCUCAGUGAGGGAAGCGCUUUUUGUAGAGCAGAGAACUCAGCCACAGACUUCCCCACAACUGCCCUAGUUAAGAAAAACCUUGAGAGGGCAAUUCCAGCUUGGUGCUGUGCACUGAUGCACAGAAUGUUUGAUCUUGUGCUUUUAGAGUCAUUUAACAACUGUGCCAUUGGGUAAAUUCCAGUCAGUUAAAUGAAAUUACUUUUAUGAGGGUUACAGAUAGGGACGAGGAGUUUACAGUUUGUGAUCCUGUAAUUUGAGUUCUGUUUCUUGUUGCAUGAUGGGUUCUCCAGUGCCUCAGUUUCCCUGAGUAGUGUAGGAUACACUGAUACUGUGCUUCAGGUGGGCAUCUUGAGAGUGGAUUAGUGCCUGUGGGGUCCCCAGGCAGAGAGAUCUCCAGAAACACAAUCUGUUCCAGACCACUGGAAAUGCACUGGUUCAUUUAUUUCCUUACUUAGACUGAUUCAAAGCUUGUUAUUCCCCAGCUGUGAAUGUCACAGCCAUAGCCCCAGUGCCAAAUUUAGCUGAGUCUGAUGAGAUCAGGAAACAGCUUAAAGUGACCAGAACAGGCAGAUGUAGGCAUGUCUAGUGUUAUUUCCAUGGAUGCAAUUAAUAGAAGUAGUCCAAAGGUUUUUCUCUUUCAGUGUUUUUUGCUUUCUUUAUUCAAGGGAUAAAAAAAAAUCUGUUUCUUUCCCUGUGCUUAAAAUUGGCUUGGACUUUUUAAAUGACACAGAUCAUCACUGAUACUUUAUGUUCUCUGUGGAGCUCUGAUGAGAGCUGGCCCCUGAUUUCAUCUCCUCUUUGCAGUAACCUGGGAAAGAAAACAAACUUGUCAUGAGUGCCAGCAUGGGCAUCUGGCAGAGGGCACCCAAAGGAGAGAAGGUGUUGGGGUGACCUGACCAUUUCUGGUAGCUGCCACUGGUAGCAUGUAAUGAGACAACUUCUUGAGAUCAGUUUUGUGCCUGUACAGAGUUCAUGGAAGUGACUGAUUUCUUUUUUUUUAUUUUUUUUUUUCUGUGAUGGAGGGUGAAGGAAGAAGGGCUGAAGCUCUUGGAUCCUACAAGACUCUGCUUUGCCCCAUCCUGUCCCCAAAGGAAUUUCACUGCCAUUCAGUUGAAUUUCAGGCUCCAGAGCCAGCAUCCAUAGUCCUGUGAGGCAGGGAAGAGGCUGUGGGGUGGGAUCCCUGGCAAGGCUCUGGCCUCUGGGGAAGGAGCUGAGUGACCAAGCCCAUCUGCAUCCUGCUCCCAUAACUGCUGUGCUUUGGGCAGCUGCUUGGAGCAGCAGCUUUCUCCUGCAGUGUGUAUUCCAGGGAAACAGGGGCACAGUGCUGGAGCUGUGGCUGUGCAGAGGGGCUGGAGGUGCUGUCACUGGCAGUUCCCUGAGUGCAGAGCUCAGCCCUUCUGUUGCGUGUGGUCUUAUUUUGGUUUGUGCUCAUUCUUCUUACAGCGUGGGAAGUUGCCAGAGCAGCAAUGCUCAUGCUGCUGAUCAGCCUGUAAGGGUUUCUUUGUUUGACUGCCUCAGUUCUUGGAAUUGAUCUAUGCUAGGCAGCAUCUUGAAAAACACUAACUAGAAAAAUAGCAUCCACCUGAUAUUUUCCUUUUAGCACAGAUUCAAAGGGAAAAACAGAGCUGCUACAAAAGACUUCAGGCAUCCUGUGUGGUAAGGAGGUGUCAGCAGCUGAGUCAGGCCCACAAAACAUCAUUUAAACAGAAAUCUGUGUUUAUCUGCUUGUCUGGACACAGCUCCAUCCCUGUGCUGUGCUCACAAGGUGGGUGAGUGAUUUUGCAGGGUGCAGAAUAACUAACACACACUUACCAAGCAUGAUACUGCUGGGUUGGUCGUUGCACUGUGGCCUUGCAGAUACCACCCCCAAGAAUAAAAUACAGUCAUCCUAUUUCUGGGUAACUGGCUGAUCAUAGUGAAAUAAAGAAUGAGCCCCUGAUAAUUCUGGGCUCACAAAUUUCCAAUAGAUUUGUUUACCAGCAGCCUAGAAUUUUCAUGGGUGAAGAAUGAGAAUUUUCUUUUAUUUACAUUUUAUGGUAAAAAUGUUCCUCUUUUGUAACCAGAAGUUGCAGGCACAGUUCUUCCCAGGCUUGCUGACCCUGGGAUGUCUGGUGAUAUGAGCUGUGACAAUUAUCCUAGAAAUACAAGGCUUCAAACCUAAAGUGCUCGUUAUCAUUUCCAUUACAGACCCAUUCAGCAUUUGCAAUCUGGGAUGCAUCUAAUGUUACAAGAAGCCAUCUCCCAGGAAGCUUGUAUUUGAUACCAGUGAGGCAAAUAACGGGGGAAAGGGGGCCUGGAAGCCCAGGGUGUACAAGUGGUUUGUCUCAGGAUAGCUGACAGGUCUGGGCAGAAAGGGAAAUAAGCUCUAGGUCUUCUGAGUGUCAGCCAACAGCUUUGCUGCCCCUCACCUGGGGGUAAAAGUCUCCGAAAUUGAUGGUUUGAUCACUGUUGGCUCCUGCUUCCUUCUCUUUCCAUUCAUAUUCAGUAGCUUCUUUGCCAUACAAUUUUGUAGGCUCUCCAGAGAGCUGAGGGUUGGAGUUCAAGAGUUCAGGUGCCAUCAAGCUCCCAGAGGUGCCUGGGAGCUUUAUUUGUACAGCAGAAAUUUCCAGAAGCCUCCUGGUGUUUAGACCCUUUGCACCAGGUGCUGCAGUGGCACAGCUUGGGAGUGCUGGCACUGCCUGUUCCAGGAGGAAAGAGAGAGAAUCCUGUAUGGCUGGAAAAGUGCAAUUGUUUGUAUCUUGUUGCAUCCCCUGGCUUUAAGGCUUUAGUUGUUUUUCAGAAAUGGCACUUAGAAGUGAGCAGAGACCCAGAAAAGUGAGCUCUGGCUCUGGUGUGUACUUGAGAGCUCAGAAGGGACAGAGGUUUCUUUCCCUCAGUGUGAGGUUUCUUUGCCCUCUCCAUCUCAGGGGCAUUUUGUUAUCGCUUCACUUCCCUCAUCACUCCUAAGGGGCUCUCUCUGUGAUCUUAUCUCCAUUCUCCCUGCCCUUCUCUUUUCCUUUGCUUGGCUUUCACUCUUGGAUUCUUUCCUCCAGUAUCUUAUGCUCCUGACUGUUCCCUCCCAGUACAGAGCAGCACAGACUGCCUCCUUCCUUCUUGUGUCCAUCACAUUUGUCUUCCUCUUUCUUAAAUUCUCUCUCUCUUAUCCUUCCCUCCACUUUAUAGCUGGUUCCUCUGUGGCUGUCAGGUCUCUUGUCUCCACACCAUGUGUUGAAGAAGAACAGACCAAACAAGGUUUGCCAGGUCUUUGCUGUGCUCUUGACUGAUAAAUUCAGUGUUUCUGUUGCUCCUGGUUCUUCCAGAGCGCAGGCAGGGAGCCCAGCACCCCCUCCCACGCAGUGAGCUCACAGGGAGCUGUCACAGUUUAUUCUAAGAAAUCAGCUAAUGUACAGUACUCGGCAGAAGCACCCCUCCCCUGGGAGGAUCAGCAGAAUUAGGAUGUGCAGCAAGUUAUCUUGGGGAUUACACAAUCUUAUCACCUCCUCCAGGGCACCAGGGAGAGGCGAGCUCUGCUCAGAGCACUCUGAGUCACACUUCCCCUGAAACAUGGUACAGGUUUCCUGACUCACUUCCUCCCAGGACUUCUGUUUCCUUAGGUCUUUUCACCAACAUAAGAAAAAAAGGAAAGUGUCAGAGAAAGGGAAGUCAAGGCAACCACGGCCUCUGAGCCUUGGGAGUGCCUGCCCCAUGUCCCUUGUCUGUUCUGAGCUGGGGUGGGAAGGCAGUUCUGCUCAGCAGGCAGGGUAUGGAGAGUCACUCACUGCUCAGGAGGUGGUAAGGAUUUUGUUUGGCUCCCUGAAACAGCAGGGAUGUAGUUGAGCACUUUCAGUUACAUGGCUGGUUUCUAUUAUUUAAUUUGGAAACACCCCAUCAUAUAUCUACAAAUUAAAUGCACCAGUGAUCAUUCUCCUGUGACUGGCAGUUGGUUCUUGCAUCAUCUGAGUCUGCAAGGGAGAGAAGGGGUAGGAGCUGGGAGUGGGCAGAGCUGCUGUGGGACAUAUCCUGCUCAGGAGCCUGCUGAUUGCCAAAACCAGAUAGUCUAAGCAAUGAUGGUGGGCUUGCCUUGCUGCUGGCUCUUAGCUUAGGCUGGUGCCAGCUCUCAGACUCCAGCAGCAGGGGAUUCUCUCUGCAUAGUUGCUGUUUUUCUUCAAGCCUCUGGAUUUAUAAGUCUCUCUUGUCAUGAGAUAGUCUCAGAUAUUAUUUCUUUUUCCUUUUAUUUUUUGAGCAUAUUCUCAGCCCUUGUAGUGUCAGGGACAGCUUGGAAAAUACGACUCUGUGAGGGAUGAACAGCCUGAAGGCCAAUAACCAGUCCCAUGCAGCUGUUCCACCCUGACACCCCAACUAUGAGCAUUUGUUCUAUUGUGUUCUUGAGAGCUGACUCCUGCAUUGAGAGCACUUGGAACAAGCCUUGUGCACUUGCUCACCUACUUCAGUGGAGUGGGAGGGGAUUGCUGAGUUACUGAAAUAGCUGCCUCUUCAGUACCUGGAAAUACUCUCUCUCUGCAUCACAGCCUAGUUCUGGAGCACACUUUGUGACAUGAAUAAGUUCAGGUUGCCAGUCAUCCCCAGGGCUGAAUUUUGUCAAGCCUUUAUGAUAAGAGAAAGGAUCCAUAUGAGAUCUAAGAAUUCCUGCUUAUCUCUACUGUGACCUGCCUGGCAGUGUGGGUUUCCAGGACACGCUGAUAGAAAUUCAGAGCCUGGUUUGAUGUAGCACUGCCCUGCAGAGCUCUGGAUCAGGCUGUACCGGCUGCUGGGCUUCUGACAUCUGUCCCCAAUAUCACCUGUGUGGCAGUAGCAGGAAAUCACCCUCCUGACCUCCAGCAUGUGUCUCCCUGCUGGUAGAGAGCAAGUGGAAAUGAGAAGGCCUUUCCAUUCUGUGUUGGAUGGCUUCUCUGAAAACACAGGAAGGAGCUGAAAAGAGAAAUAAACGUGACACCCAG
Long non-coding RNA from Parus major (Great Tit), 6734 nucleotides. RefSeq lists it as uncharacterized. The record is from RefSeq and is a predicted model, not a curated record. The transcript is spliced from 2 exons. Lineage: Eukaryota; Metazoa; Chordata; Aves; Passeriformes; Paridae.